This 73-nucleotide transfer RNA is filed under the name Nicotiana sylvestris (wood tobacco). It matches the Rfam family "tRNA". Rfam says of the family: Transfer RNA (tRNA) molecules are approximately 80 nucleotides in length. Their secondary structure includes four short double-helical elements and three loops (D, anti-codon, and T loops). RNAcentral also lists the same sequence under 1 other name. Lineage: Eukaryota; Viridiplantae; Streptophyta; Magnoliopsida; Solanales; Solanaceae. The record is from Rfam by way of RNAcentral.
GCUCUCAUAGCUUAGUUUGUUAGAGCACUCGCUUGAUAAGUGGAGGUUUUGAGUUCGACUCUUAAUGAGAGUA